UCCCUGGUGGCUCAACUGGUAAAGAAUCCACCUGCAAUGUGGGAAACCAGGGUUCAAUCCCUGGCUUGGGAA
RNAcentral lists this transfer RNA (72 nucleotides) under Bos taurus (domestic cattle). It matches the Rfam family "tRNA". Rfam says of the family: Transfer RNA (tRNA) molecules are approximately 80 nucleotides in length. Their secondary structure includes four short double-helical elements and three loops (D, anti-codon, and T loops). The record is from Rfam by way of RNAcentral. Lineage: Eukaryota; Metazoa; Chordata; Mammalia; Artiodactyla; Bovidae. RNAcentral also lists the same sequence under 2 other names.